UACGGGGGGGGCAAGCGUUGUUCGGAAUUACUGGGCGUAAAGGGCGCGUAGGCGGUUCGCUAAGUUGAAUGUGAAAACUCUGGGCUUAACCCAGAGCCUGCAUCCAAAACUGGCGAACUGGAGUACUGGAGGGGAAAGCGGAAUUCCUGGUGUAGAGGUGAAAUUCGUAGAUAUUCGCAAGAACACCAGUGGCGAAGGCGGCUCACUGGCCCGGUACUGACGCUGAGGUGCGAAAGCGUGGGGAGCAAACAGG
Molecule: ribosomal RNA, 253 nt
Filed under: uncultured bacterium
Lineage: Bacteria
Description: partial 16S ribosomal RNA
Rfam family: Bacterial small subunit ribosomal RNA
Source: RNAcentral